GUUGAAGAACGCAGCGAAAUGCGAUAAGUAAUGUGAAUUGCAGAAUUCAGUGAAUCAUCGAGUCUUUGAACGCACAUUGCGCCCCCUGGUAUUCCGGGGGGCAUGCCUGUCCGAGCGUCAUUGCUGCCCUCAAGCACGGCUUGUGUGUUGGGCCUCCGUCCUCCUCCCGGGGGACGGGCCCGAAAGGCAGCGGCGGCACCGCGUCCGGUCCUCGAGCGUAUGGGGCUUCGUCACCCGCUCUUGUAGGCCCGGCCGGCGCUUGCCGACACAUCAAUCUUUUUUCCAGGUUGACCUCGGAUCAGGUAGGGAUACCCGCUGAACUUAAGCAUAUCAAUAAGCGGAGGA
RNAcentral lists this unclassified non-coding RNA (345 nucleotides) under soil metagenome. RNAcentral describes it as "partial contains 5.8S ribosomal RNA, internal transcribed spacer 2, and large subunit ribosomal RNA". The stretch from base 1 to 120 matches the Rfam family "5.8S ribosomal RNA", at positions 35 to 154 of the family's 154-position model. The record is from RNAcentral.